CCCCGCCGUCCCCAUGGAGGGUAGAGGUAUGAAGGCAAGUCCUGGAUCUAUAUCUUUGUGUUUUUGUUUUAGUGACGUGUGCCGUGCGGUGAACCAGGGACACGAACGGACGGGUCAAAUAUGGACGUCCCGCCUCCCUCCAUCCUGCUGCUCCUUGAUCAGCCGCGAGCAUCUUGUGAAGACUCAAGAAGUGAAGCUGCCUCUCGGGAGUUUGUUGGCGGACGGACAGGAGGCAAAAGUAGAAGAGCUGGAGGAGGGAAAAGUUAAACUACACAUCAUGUCACGAGAGAUCUGUCAGCUUCCUUGCACACCGUCGCUCUGAAGGAUAUAUUCUGAAACAUUCCACUAUAUCAUUCUAAAGCCUGUAGUUGAAAUUACACUUUUUUUGUGUGUUUGUGUUUCUCUGAUUCUAGUGACAGAUUAACAACACUUCUUCUUUUUAAUCAAGAGAUACAGUUUUAAGAAUCCAGCUUAUCAUCUCUGUGUCCUUUGAAAAUAAUCGUGAUGAGAGAGCGAAGCGUUUCAGAAUACUGGCCUUUAGUUCAUCGCGUUGACAUACAGAAACAUCUCUAGAAGUAAAAGUGUUGUGAUUACAUACAUGACUCUCCUCGUAUACAUACCUUGAUAAUAUUCAUUGCACUCUGUAAGCGAGACAUUUUAGUGAUGCAUUGGACAUAUUAAAGAUAUACGUAUUUUU
Long non-coding RNA from Scylla paramamosain (green mud crab), 697 nucleotides. RefSeq lists it as uncharacterized. The transcript is spliced from 2 exons. NCBI's taxonomy places the organism in Eukaryota, Metazoa, Arthropoda, Malacostraca, Decapoda, Portunidae. The record is from RefSeq and is a predicted model, not a curated record.